UACGGAGGGGGCUAGCGUUGUUCGGAAUUACUGGGCGUAAAGCGCACGUAGGCGGCUUUGUAAGUUAGAGGUGAAAGCCCAGGGCUUAACCCUGGAAUUGCCUUUAAGACUGCAUCGCUAGAAUCGUGGAGAGGUGAGUGGAAUUCCGAGUGUAGAGGUGAAAUUCGUAGAUAUUCGGAAGAACACCAGUGGCGAAGGCGACUCACUGGACACGUAUUGACGCUGAGGUGGCGAAAGCGUGGGGAGCAAACAGG
Molecule: ribosomal RNA, 254 nt
Filed under: uncultured bacterium
Lineage: Bacteria
Description: partial 16S ribosomal RNA
Rfam family: Bacterial small subunit ribosomal RNA
Source: RNAcentral